Molecule: ribosomal RNA, 443 nt
Filed under: uncultured bacterium
Lineage: Bacteria
Description: partial 16S ribosomal RNA
Rfam family: Bacterial small subunit ribosomal RNA
Source: RNAcentral
CCUACGGGAGGCAGCAGUGGGGAAUCUUGGGCAAUGGGCGCAAGCCUGACCCAGCAACGCCGCGUGAAGGAAGGAGGCUUUCGGGUUGUUAACUUCUUUUGUCAGGGACGAAGCAAGUGACGGUACCUGACGAAUAAGCCACGGCUAACUACGUGCCAGCAGCCGCGGUAAUAAGUCGGGGGCCAGCGUUCUCCGGCUUUAUUGGGUGUAAAGGGCGUGUAGGCGGGAAUGCAAGUCAGAUGUGAAAACGAUGGGCUCAACCCAUAGCCUGCAUUUGAUACUGUAUUUAUUGAGUGCUGGAGAGGCAAUCGGAAUUCCGGGUGUAGCGGUGAAAUGCGUAGAUAUACGGAGGAACACCAGUGGCGAAGGCGGAUUGCUGGACAGUAACUGACGCUGAGGCGCGAAAGCGUGGGGAGCAAACAGGAUUAGAUACCCUAGGAGUC